Long non-coding RNA from Temnothorax curvispinosus, 970 nucleotides. RefSeq lists it as uncharacterized. The transcript is spliced from 5 exons. The record is from RefSeq and is a predicted model, not a curated record. Lineage: Eukaryota; Metazoa; Arthropoda; Insecta; Hymenoptera; Formicidae.
GAAAGGACUAUUAAAAAAAAUAUUAAAAUGCGUACAGGAUCGCCAUUCCGCGACAGUAAGGGCCCAGACACACACUUCUGCACAACGCAUAAUGCGUAAGCAUGAGAAAAUUGAUUGGUCCAUACACAUGUGCAUAAGGAAAUAGACCAAUCAAUUUUCUUAUGCUUACGCAUUAUGCGUUGUGCAGAAGUGUGUGCUCCCCGCUUAAAGCCUGCUGGAUUUCCGAUAUCAACAUUACAGCAGAUGGACGCAUUCGAAAACAUUGACCAGAACGGUUAUUCCGAUGCUGUAAAUUAUUUCGAAUAUGUCGGUGGCUUCCAUUUAAAAGAAGCCGUAAAUCUAUGGUUGAAGAAAAACUUACCCGAUUCACUGAUGCGGUAAUUUACCUGAUGAGGCUGAGAAGAAGGACAGCGACCCUUGUAUAAAGCUCGUUUGAUUACGGCAAUAUACGGAACCGGCUCUUUCCAAAACCAACGCGAUCUGAAUUCCAGGCUCAGAUGCGGGAGGCUGUUCGCGUUGCGAAGGAGAAAAAUCGCAGCAAGAUGCGUGGUCCACGCACACGGACAGUCGAGGCGAGAGGGGUCAACCACGACUUUUGGAGAAAGGACAGGAGAGGACAGGAGAGGAAGACAACCCUGAAGAACAAACGUUAAACGAAUAAGAAUUACAUUAUUUGUUUGAGGAGAAUCUGUGAAGAACCAAGGCAAAUGGAUUCUAGGAGCGAGGAGAGGAAGAAAAAGAAGAAAGAGAGAAGGAGGGUAGAAGGAGUAGGAGAGAAUGAUUAUGAUCUGGUGGACUGACAAUACAUAACAGACCCCUGUCCGGAAGAAGUUAGAGAGAGAAACAUACUUUUCACACGACACCGCCGGCAUUUACGUAUAGGGUAACUCCGAUAUAUACAUUGUACCUAAAAAAAAAUUAAUUUAUCGAGUACUAUUUACUAUGUCUAAGGCAAAUAAAUUAUACCAAU